This 215-nucleotide long non-coding RNA is filed under the name Mustela putorius furo (domestic ferret). Its description in RNAcentral is "lncRNA (ENSMPUG00000026394.1)". Lineage: Eukaryota; Metazoa; Chordata; Mammalia; Carnivora; Mustelidae. The record is from RNAcentral.
GGAAGAGGAGAGAGACCAGAUCCUGUGAACGUCGUUUGAUGACAGGCGCAGGCCUGGAUCUCCUGCUCCUCGGGACUUCUUGCCUCUAUGAGUCCAUGCAGCCGGCUGGAGAUGGAUGGAGAUCUCCAAACGUGAAAGCACAUUUAUCUGCUCCCUAAAUUUAAAUAAAAAGCCAAAUGAAAUAAACAGAUCCCAGCAGAAGAGGAGAGACCCAC